AUGGGGCGGAAGAAGAUCGUAAUCCGGCGCAUCGAGAACAAGGCUGCACGGGACAUCUGCUUCUCCAAGCGCCGGCAGGGGCUGUUUCGCAAGGCGAACGAACUGGCCGUCAUGUGCGGCGCCCAGCUCGGUGGCACCAGCGCCGACGGCGGGAUGGAGGAGCUAAUGACGGUGAUCGCAGGCUUCGGUGGGCUUGAGCUGGAUGGCACUAGCCUGAAUGGAGGGAUGGACCAGAUGGUCACGGUGAUGCCAACGCCGGGGUUCGUAGGCGGAGUGGGGUGUGAGCCAGAUCCUUGGUUUGAGCUCGGUGGCACCAGCGCCAGCGGCCGGAUGGAUGACGUGAUGACGGCGGUCGCCGGCGGCGCUGGGUUUGAGCUGGGUGGCAUCAGCGUGAAUGGAGGGACGGAGCAUUCACCAGCGUGGGUUUGA
This 429-nucleotide ribosomal RNA is filed under the name Triticum aestivum (bread wheat). RNAcentral describes it as "partial small subunit ribosomal RNA". The record is from RNAcentral. Lineage: Eukaryota; Viridiplantae; Streptophyta; Magnoliopsida; Poales; Poaceae.